GGAUCCCUGCUUGGGCAGCGACGUCCUCCCAUGCACGCCUAUUCAGUGUUGGACSAAGUGCAACGUUAGCCUUGGUCGUAUGUCGGUUUCCUGUGUUGCGUACCUUUUGUGACGGCAAUGGUUGUCAAAAUUGUCCCUCGUUUGUCUUGUGCGGCCCGUCGAGGGUUGCCACUGGAUGAACCGCGAAGCUCUCUUUGCGAUCCAUGAUGCCCGCAGUACAACUCGCGGCGUUUGUGGCUCGAGACGAGAUGUUUGUUCUUUCGGAUGCAGAAUGCAUAGCGGGUACGGGGUCUCUGGCCUCUAUCUACCCAAAACGAAGCGUCCAGUGCACGACUGUCGUCUCCGUCUUGACGGGCCGACCCUUGCGGUCUUGCUCGGCCAUGCGGCGUCGAUGUCUGUGAGGA
RNAcentral lists this unclassified non-coding RNA (404 nucleotides) under Strychnos psilosperma. Its description in RNAcentral is "partial external transcribed spacer". The record is from RNAcentral. Lineage: Eukaryota; Viridiplantae; Streptophyta; Magnoliopsida; Gentianales; Loganiaceae.